AGGUAAAGGAAAUCUUCCCAGAUCCCCCAGAGAAUCUGUGAUCAUAGCUUGGGGCUUUGAAAAGUGGUGAAUCAACUGCUUACAGAGAUCAAACACCAAGCUCUGGAUGAGGAAUUUUGGGUGGAUAACAUCAACAUCCUUUGUUCACCCAUUCAUCCAGUGGUUAAACUGUCUGGUAGGAGCAGCUGAAACAUAGAUCAAGAGAAUUAUGGCACACACUGAUGUCUGAUAAAAUAAGGUAUGUGGCUGCACUCUGCAGGAAAAAUAGUAACAUAAGGAGGAGAGAGACGUGGAUGUAUGGGUAAGUGUGGUCAGCGCUAUGGAGACAAGAAGGGAUAGGCCAGAGUCAAGUCACAAGGCCAGGAAGCCAAGUUUGGUCUGUAGCUGUGCAACUGUAUGAACUUGACCAAACCACGUAGACUAAACCUCCUUGU
This is a long non-coding RNA of Canis lupus familiaris (dog), 434 nucleotides long. RefSeq lists it as uncharacterized. The transcript is spliced from 3 exons. The record is from RefSeq and is a predicted model, not a curated record. Lineage: Eukaryota; Metazoa; Chordata; Mammalia; Carnivora; Canidae.